RNAcentral lists this ribosomal RNA (478 nucleotides) under uncultured bacterium. RNAcentral describes it as "partial 16S ribosomal RNA". It matches the Rfam family "Bacterial small subunit ribosomal RNA", at positions 28 to 523 of the family's 1533-position model. The record is from RNAcentral.
GACGAACGCUGGCGGCGUGCUUAACACAUGCAAGUCGAACGGUAAGGCCCUUCGGGGUACACGAGUGGCGAACGGGUGAGUAACACGUGGGUGAUCUGCCCUGCACUUCGGGAUAAGCCUGGGAAACUGGGUCUAAUAUCGGAUAGGACCACUGCCUGCAUGGGUGGUGGUGGAAAGCUUUUGCGGUGUGGGAUGGGCCCGCGGCCUAUCAGCUUGUUGGUGGGGGGAUGGCCUACCAAGGCGACGACGGGUAGCCGGCCUGAGAGGGUGACCGGCCACACUGGGACUGAGAUACGGCCCAGACUCCUACGGGAGGCAGCAGUGGGGAAUAUUGCACAAUGGGCGCAAGCCUGAUGCAGCGACGCCGCGUGAGGGAUGACGGCCUUCGGGUUGUAAACCUCUUUCAGCACCGACGAAGCGCAAGUGACGGUAGGUGCAGAAGAAGGACCGGCCAACUACGUGCCAGCCGCCGCUGUAA